RNAcentral lists this ribosomal RNA (200 nucleotides) under uncultured bacterium. RNAcentral's name for it is "partial 16S ribosomal RNA". It matches the Rfam family "Bacterial small subunit ribosomal RNA", at positions 1294 to 1500 of the family's 1533-position model. The record is from RNAcentral.
CGGAUCGGAGUCUGCAACCCGACUCCGUGAAGCUGGAUUCGCUAGUAAUCGCGCAUCAGCCAUGGCGCGGUGAAUACGUUCCCGGGCCUUGUACACACCGCCCGUCAAGCCAUGGGAGCCGGGGGGUGCUUGAAGUGCGUCGCCGCAAGGCGCGCCCUAGAGCAAAACCGGUGACUGGGGCUAAGUCGUAACAAGGUAAC